RNAcentral lists this long non-coding RNA (271 nucleotides) under Elaeis guineensis (African oil palm). RNAcentral's name for it is "long non-coding RNA (EGUI_LNC027735)". Lineage: Eukaryota; Viridiplantae; Streptophyta; Magnoliopsida; Arecales; Arecaceae. The record is from RNAcentral.
GGAAGGUUAUCCUUAAGUAUUUGAGAAAUACUAAGGACCGACGAUUCGGUUAUGAAGAAUCUGACUUAAAACUUAUAGAGUAUGACUCUAGUUUUUAGUUGGACAUAAUAAUAGUAAGAAUGUGUCGGAAUAUAUCAUUACCCUCAAUAAUGGAGCAAUCUAUUGAAAAAAUUUCAGACAGAACAAUAUAACUGAUUCAAUUUGUGAGACAGAAUGCAUUGCAGCAUUCGAUACUUGCAAGGAAGCUAUGUGAUUGUACGGUUCACUGACA